This is a non-coding RNA of Schistocerca gregaria, 72 nucleotides long. NCBI's taxonomy places the organism in Eukaryota, Metazoa, Arthropoda, Insecta, Orthoptera, Acrididae. The record is from the annotation of a RefSeq genome assembly.
GGGUGAAUAGCUUAAUGGUAAAGCAGUAGUUUUGUAAACUAUUGAUUCGAAGUUCGAAUCUUCGUUUACCCU